Molecule: transfer RNA, 85 nt
Organism: Felis catus (domestic cat)
Lineage: Eukaryota; Metazoa; Chordata; Mammalia; Carnivora; Felidae
Rfam family: tRNA
About the family: Transfer RNA (tRNA) molecules are approximately 80 nucleotides in length. Their secondary structure includes four short double-helical elements and three loops (D, anti-codon, and T loops).
Source: Rfam
GCCUGGGUGGCUCAGUCGGUUAAGCGUCUGACUGCGGCUCAGGUCAUGAUCUCGCAGUUCGCGAGUUCAAGCCCCGCGUCGGGCU